CACGGGGGGAGCAAGCGUUGUUCGGAAUCACUGGGCGUAAAGCGCACGUAGGCGGAUUUGUCAGUCAGGGGUGAAAUCCCGGGGCUCAACCUCGGAACUGCCUUUGAUACAGCAAGUCUUGAGUUCGAGAGAGGUGGGUGGAAUUCCUAGUGUAGAGGUGAAAUUCGUAGAUAUUAGGAAGAACACCGGUGGCGAAGGCGGCCCACUGGCUCGAUACUGACGCUGAGGUGCGAAGGCGUGGGGAGCGAACAGG
RNAcentral lists this ribosomal RNA (253 nucleotides) under uncultured bacterium. RNAcentral's name for it is "partial 16S ribosomal RNA". It matches the Rfam family "Bacterial small subunit ribosomal RNA", at positions 524 to 776 of the family's 1533-position model. The record is from RNAcentral.